This 498-nucleotide ribosomal RNA is filed under the name uncultured bacterium. RNAcentral's name for it is "partial 16S ribosomal RNA". It matches the Rfam family "Bacterial small subunit ribosomal RNA", at positions 30 to 523 of the family's 1533-position model. The record is from RNAcentral.
AUUGAACGCUGGUGGCAUGCUUAACACAUGCAAGUCGGACGGUAACAGGUGUAGCUUGCUACAUGCUGACGAGUGGCGGACGGGUGAGUAAUGCAUAGGAACUUACCUUAUGGAGGGGGAUCGCUCAGGGAAACUUGAGGUAAUACCGCGUAAGACCGAGAGGUGAAAGGGGGCGUAAGCUUUCGCCAUAAGAUGGGCCUAUGUGGGAUUAGCUAGUUGGUAAGGUAAAGGCCUACCAAGGCGACGGUCCAGAGCUGGUCAGAGAGGAGACCCAGCCAGACUGGGACUGAGACACGGUCAAGACUACGACGGGGGUCAGCAGUUGGGAAGAUUGCACAAUGGUCGCAAGCCUGAUGCAGCCAUGCCGCGGGUGUUAAGAAGGCCUUCGGGUUGUAAAGCACUUUCAGCGGGGAGGAAGGGGGCAGGCUUAAUACGUCGGUUCAUUGACGUUACCCACAGAAGAAGCACCGGCUAACUCCGUGCCAGCCGCCGCAGUAA